AUCCAGGCAAAUCCGGAUCUUUUUAAGCCGAGACCCCACAGGCGUUUGAAGUUCUUCGGAAUGGAUAGCGAAUUGCUGAUACUGUCGAGCCAAGAAAAGUUUCUAAGUUUAGUUAUAGUUGCCCGUACCGUAAACCGACACAGGUGGGUGGGAUGAGUAUUCUAAGGCGCGUGGAAGAACUCUCUUCAAGGAACUCUGCAAAAUAGCACCGUAUCUUCGGUAUAAGGUGUGCCUAACUUUGUGAAGGAUUUACUCCGUAAGCAUUGAAGGUUACAACAAAGAGUCCCUCCCGACUGUUUACCAAAAACACAGCACUCUGCUAACUCGUAAGAGGAUGUAUAGGGUGUGACGCCUGCCCGGUGCUCGAAGGUUAAUUGAUGACGUUAGCUCUGCGAAGCGUUUGAUCGAAGCCCGAGUAAACGGCGGCCGUAACUAUAACGGUCCUAAGGUAGCGAAAUUCCUUGUCGAUUAAAUAUCGACCUGCAUGAAUGGCGUAACGAGAUGGGAGCUGUCUCGAAGAGGGAUCCAGUGAAAUUGUAGUGGAGGUGAAAAUUCCUCCUACCCGCGGCAAGACGGAAAGACCCCGUGGACCUUUACUACAGCUUGACACUGCUAUUGGGAUAAAAAUGUGCAGGAUAGGUGGGAGGCUUUGAUCCAUAGACGCCAGUUUAUGGUGAGCCGUUGUUGAGAUACCACUCUUUUUUAUUCUGAUAGCUAACUAGCUUGAGUUAUCCUCAAGUAGGACAAUGUCUGGUGGGUAGUUUGACUGGGGCGGUCGCCUCCCAAAAUGUAACGGAGGCUUACAAAGGUUGGCUCAAAGCGGUUGGAAAUCGCUUGCAGAGUAUAAAGGCAAAAGCCAGCUUAACUGCGAGACAUACACGUCGAGCAGAGACGAAAGUCGGUCUUAGUGAUCCGGUGGUUCUGUAUGGAAGGGCCAUCGCUCAAAGGAUAAAAGGUACCCCGGGGAUAACAGGCUGAUCUCCCCCAAGAGCUCACAUCGACGGGGAGGUUUGGCACCUCGAUGUCGGCUCAUCGCAUCCUGGGGCU
This 1047-nucleotide ribosomal RNA is filed under the name human oral metagenome. RNAcentral's name for it is "bacterial LSU rRNA". It matches the Rfam family "Bacterial large subunit ribosomal RNA", at positions 1530 to 2554 of the family's 2925-position model. The record is from RNAcentral.